Molecule: ribosomal RNA, 695 nt
Filed under: uncultured Bacteroidales bacterium
Lineage: Bacteria; Pseudomonadati; Bacteroidota; Bacteroidia; Bacteroidales
Description: bacterial SSU rRNA
Rfam family: Bacterial small subunit ribosomal RNA
Source: RNAcentral
AACGCUAGCUACAGGCUUAACACAUGCAAGUCCAGGGGCAGCAUUUUAGUUUGCUUGCAAACUGAAGAUGGCGACCGGCGCACGGGUGAGUAACACGUAUCCAACCUGCCGAUAACUCCGGAAUAGCCUUUCGAAAGAAAGAUUAAUACCGGAUAGCAUACGAAUAUCGCAUGGUAUUUUUAUUAAAGAAUUUCGGUUAUCGAUGGGGAUGCGUUCCAUUAGUUUGUUGGCGGGGUAACGGCCCACCAAGACUACAAUGGAUAGGGGUUCUGAGAGGAAGGUCCCCCACAUUGGAACUGAGACACGGUCCAAACUCCUACGGGAGGCAGCAGUGAGGAAUAUUGGUCAAUGGGCGAGAGCCUGAACCAGCCAAGUAGCGUGAAGGAUGAAGGCUCUAUGGGUCGUAAACUUCUUUUAUAUGGGAAUAAAGUUUUCCACGUGUGGAAUUUUGUAUGUACCAUAUGAAUAAGGAUCGGCUAACUCCGUGCCAGCAGCCGCGGUAAUACGGAGGAUCCGAGCGUUAUCCGGAUUUAUUGGGUUUAAAGGGAGCGUAGGUGGAUUGUUAAGUCAGUUGUGAAAGUUUGCGGCUCAACCGUAAAAUUGCAGUUGAAACUGGCAGUCUUGAGUACAGUAGAGGUGGGCGGAAUUCGUGGUGUAGCGGUGAAAUGCUUAGAUAUCACGAAGAACUCCGAUUG